RNAcentral lists this ribosomal RNA (879 nucleotides) under uncultured bacterium. Its description in RNAcentral is "bacterial SSU rRNA". It matches the Rfam family "Bacterial small subunit ribosomal RNA", at positions 48 to 922 of the family's 1533-position model. The record is from RNAcentral.
CUUACACAUGCAAGUCGAGCGGGGAGAUGUAGCUUGCUACAUUUCCUAGCGGCGGACGGGUGAGUAAUGCUUAGGAAUCUGCCUAUUAGUGGGGGACAACAUUCCGAAAGGAAUGCUAAUACCGCAUACGCCCUACGGGGGAAAGCAGGGGAUCUUCGGACCUUGCGCUAAUAGAUGAGCCUAAGUCAGAUUAGCUAGUUGGUGGGGUAAAGGCCUACCAAGGCGACGAUCUGUAGCGGGUCUGAGAGGAUGAUCCGCCACACUGGGACUGAGACACGGCCCAGACUCCUACGGGAGGCAGCAGUGGGGAAUAUUGGACAAUGGGCGAAAGCCUGAUCCAGCCAUGCCGCGUGUGUGAAGAAGGCCUUUUGGUUGUAAAGCACUUUAAGCGAGGAGGAGGCUACUUAGAUUAAUACUCUAGGAUAGUGGACGUUACUCGCAGAAUAAGCACCGGCUAACUCUGUGCCAGCAGCCGCGGUAAUACAGAGGGUGCGAGCGUUAAUCGGAUUUACUGGGCGUAAAGCGUGCGUAGGCGGCUUUUUAAGUCGGAUGUGAAAUCCCUGAGCUUAACUUAGGAAUUGCAUUCGAUACUGGGAAGCUAGAGUAUGGGAGAGGAUGGUAGAAUUCCAGGUGUAGCGGUGAAAUGCGUAGAGAUCUGGAGGAAUACCGAUGGCGAAGGCAGCCAUCUGGCCUAAUACUGACACUGAGGUACGAAAGCAUGGGGAGCAAACAAGAUUAGAUACCCUGGUAGUCCGUGCCGUAAACGAUGUCUACUAGCCGUUGGGGCCUUUGACGCUUUAGUGGCGCAGCUAACGCGAUAAGUAGACCGCCUGGGGAAUUACGUCGCAUGACUAAACUCAAAUGAGUUGACGGGGGCCC